This 18982-nucleotide long non-coding RNA is filed under the name Lathyrus oleraceus (garden pea). Its description in RNAcentral is "Pisum sativum (pea) long non-coding RNA (PSAT_LNC011355)". The record is from RNAcentral. Lineage: Eukaryota; Viridiplantae; Streptophyta; Magnoliopsida; Fabales; Fabaceae.
GUUCUGAAGGUUGAAGGAGUUGCAUGGGGUUGUGACAAGAGCACAAUGGUUUUUUCCGGAGUUUAACGGAUAUGUUUCCAGUGUGUGGAGGUGUGUUAGUAUACUUCCUUUUUCUUCCUCCGUUUUAGCUUACGAUUCCGUUUCCGAGUUUUGUUGUUCCUCUUUAUUUGUGGCUUAUGUUUUGUUUUCUAGAUUUGGUUUGAUGUGGGUUAUUAUGUGAGUUAUAUGAGAGGAGGAGAGUUAUGUCAUGGUUUAUGUGUUGUUGUGAGGAUGAAAAAUGAGUUAUGUGUUUGUGAGAUUUUGGAAGUUAUUGUUGAUGUUUAGAGAGGGAAAAAAGAGUAUGAAGAGUUAUGGUGUGUUGGUAUGAAAAUGAUUUUUUGGUGAUUAUGUGGUGAUGGAAAAGAUGAAGGUGAUUAUGUUGUAGAGAAGAUGAUGAGGAAAAAUGAAGAUUGUUUUGGUGAGUAGAGUGGAGAAGAAGGAAAAGUGAGGGUGGGUGAAAAAAAGUUGCAGGUGAAGAAGAAUGCAGUAUGUGGUUUUCUUGAAGAAGAGGAAAAAAUAUAAUAUAUUGAGAUGAGAAAACCUCACGUGCAUGAAAGAAAAACAAAAUAUCUCUUGGACAGUGUUUGGAUCUUUCUCUUUGGGAAAAAAACGUUUUUUUUAACAUGUGUGUGUGAGUUGGCCACGUGGCCUUUCAUGAAUGGAGAAGGAGAACAUAUUUUUCUUGAUUUUUUAAUUUUAGCAAGUGCUAAAAACUAAAAAAUAAUAAUUUUUAAAAAAACAUAAAAUAAAAACGUAGAAAAUUCUAUUUAAUCGAAUAAAAAAUAAACGGAUAAAAAAUAAAUAAAAAUUGGGUGAAAGAAUGCUAAAAAAUAAAUAAACUGAACACAUUAAAUUAAUCAGCGCGAAAUAAAUUUUUCAGAAACAUACAGGUUUUGAUCAAAUUUUACAAUAAAAAUUUACCAGUUAAAAGGCUCAGGCAGAUAAAAAUGCGACAUAAAAUGUAGUUGAAAAAUUAAAAUGAGCACACCGGGUUAAACUACGCGAAUCGUAGAUUAAGAAAACCGUCGUAUGAAAGCUCAAUUUUGAAAUUCUUCGCCCGCUAAUUUGAUGCACAAUUAAGAAACGAUUCGACCGAUCUGUUUGUAGGUCUGAAAAUUUUAUCUGGCUGAUAUUCUAAACUAUACGGAACAAAAAUGCAUGUUGUGACAAGUAUAAAAUACAAACGUCUUGUAAAUGAAAUAAAUUGCUGACUGAAUAAAUGUGAGCAGACAAUCAGACAUAAAUGAAUCUCUCUUAGACCAUUUGCUUCUGAUUUUAAAAUACAAAUAAAAUCAUGCAAAGAUUCAGAUGACGACAAUACUCUUAAUUGUCACCCUCUGAUCCUCUGAAAUCAUGAUAAAAUGGAAACAAAUGAUGCACUGAGAUUGAGAAAUCAAACCUUUUGACUUCUUAAUCAAUAAAUGACUGAAUAAACAUCAUCAAGAUCAUAUAAAAUUCCAGAACUCCUGACUUUUCAUCUAAACCCUGAUAGACCCUUUUAAUUGAAUAAAUGCAUGGCAAAAUGGAUCGAUUUAUGUUAUGCUGAUGCGAGUGAAAAACUCAAGGUGAAAUUUAGGGUAUGAAAGAUGCCCUUUUUAAAACAUCUUUAACCGGAGGAUAUGAAGAACUCUUGUCUUCAAAUCAUCAUGGUAAAAGAUAGUUUAAAUACCAAACAAACCCAAAAUUUUCCCUUCUAUGCGAAAGAAAGAUAUGUUUGUGAUUAUGGAUGAAUGCACAGGGACUCUAGAUUUCUUAAUCAACAAAUGGUAAUACGAAUGAAUGCGAACGAGAUUUAGGAAAUACUCUUGAUUUCCUAAUCGUCGGAUGAUAUGGAUGCAAUGUAAGUUAAGAAGUACUCCCGACUUCUUAGAGAUGAAUGAUUAAGAAAUACUCUUGAUCUCUUAAUCAUAAUAUGAUUGAAUGAAAUGAAAAUUAAUUAAGAAAUACUUCUUGAUUCUUAAUCAUGAAUACAAGUGAGUUGAGAAAUGCUCUUGAAUUCUCAAUCAUGAGAUUACAAAUGAAUGUAAGUUAAGAAAUACUCUUGAUUUCUUAAUCAUGAAUGUAAUGAAUUGAGAAAUGCUCUUGAUUUCUCAUAUGACAUGCAGAUGAGUUAAGAAAUACUCUUGAUUUCUUAAUCAUGAAUGUAAAUGAAAUAAGUAUGAGUUAAGAAAUACUCUUGAUUUCUUAAUCGAUGAAUGUAAAUGAAUUGAGAAAUGCUCUUGAUUUCUCAGAUGAAAUGCAAAUGAAUUAAGAAAUACUCUUGAUUCCUUAAUCAUGAAUGUAAAUGAAUUGAGAAAUGCUCUUGAUUUCUCAGAUGGCGCAGAUGAGUUAAGAAAUACUCUUGAUUUCUUAAUCAUGAAUGUAAAUGAAAUAUGUAUGAGUUAAGAAAUCUCUUGAUUUCUUAAUCAUGAGUGUAAAUGAAUUGAGAAAUGCUCUUGAUUUCUCAGAUGAAAUGCAAAUGAAUUAAGAAAUACUCUUGAUUCCUUAAUCAUGAAUGUAAGUGAAUUGAGAAAUGCUCUUGAUUUCUCAGAUGACAUGCAGAUGAGUUAAGAAAUACUCUUGAUUUCUUAAUCAUGAAUGUAAAUGAAAUAUGUAUGAGUUAAGAAAUCUCUUGAUUUCUUAAUCAUGGGAAUGCAGAUGAAUUAAGAAAUACUCUUGAUUCCUUAAUCAUGAAUGUAAAUGAGAAAUGCUAUUGAUUUCUCAUAUGACAUGCAAAUGACUGGGGAUGAGAGAAUCAUGUUCAACUUCCUUUGAAUGACGAUAGAUCUAUGGGAUGAAUUUGUUACAAAGUAACAUGCUCGAUUGGUCUUCAAACGCUCUUUGCUGAAGGUAGAAAAAAAUGAUCAUAUUCAGUUGCUCUUGGCUAAAGAUGUCAUAUCUUGCAACUCUUGGCUGAAACUGAUGCAUUCAACGACUCUUGGUUGAAGCAAAAACUGUAAAAUAAAAUAGUGUUCAAUUGUUUUUUGCUGAAAGCACUGCAUUCCACUAUUCAUGGUUGAAGCAAAUCUGGGAGAUAAAAAAUAGUGUUCAGCUGCUCUUGGUUGAAAUUAUUGCAUAAAAUAAAAUGGUGUCCAGCUGCUCUUGGCUGAAACUAAUGCAUUCAACUACCCUUGGUUGAAGUAAACUGCUGGAAAAUAAAAUAGUAUUCAGCUGCUCUUUGCUGAAACUAAUGCAUUCAACUGAUCUUGGUUGAUGCAAAUUGCUGGGAAAUAAACAAAAUGCUUCCUUUGGGGAAUAACCGCAUGUUCAUCUGCUCUUGGCUGACAGAAGACUCUUUUGGGGAAUGAGAAGAUCCCAGAGACUUGUUGGGGAUGAAAAGUUAAUGAUAUUCAAAAGGAUUAACCUUACUCUCAAUUAUCGAAUUGACAGGUCCAACCUAACACUCCAUCACAUAGUAGAUCAACACGGAACACUAACUCUUCCGAGGAUUGAUUGAACAAACCUGUUGGGGAAUACAAGAGACUCUCUGGGAAAUAAACACACAGGAGGCUCGUUGGAGAUAUACUGAGGAACAUUCAGUAAAGCUUGUUUGUUCAUGGAUCUCUCGUCCAUUAGACUCAUUGGGGAGAUUUCUAACUUAUGAAGAGAUGUCCAUCUUAGACAGCUACUUCAAGGAGACUUGUUGAAGAUAAAAUUAUUGGGGAUCCCUUGCUUAAGGAAUCCUGCUUGUAAAAAAAACCUCGCUUGGGGAGUUCAUGAAAUUUUUCCGGAGAAGAUACAAUGUUGGAGAAACUCUGUGGGGAGAUAUCUACUAGGGAAACCAAGCAGAAAUUCCGUUGAUACCAGAGUUCCAAUGGGAGAACAUCAAUCACCUUGUAGGGGAAGAAACUUGUCUUAAGAAUUAAUUCCAACAAUGAUUGUACUCUGAAAGUAUUGUAGUGUUGAAGAAGAGAACUGUUCUACUCGUGAGAACACCCCUUGCAUCUUGGUUUGCUAAGGAUUACACUGAACUUUCUUGAGAGGUUGCUGAAUCCGGCUGGGGUUUAUGCAUGAUCUGUUUUGUACGUGAUAUGGAAAAUGAAUGUGAAAGCAUAAAUAUAUAAGUUUAUGCAUUUUGUGGGUAUCAAGCUCGGAUUCCCCAACGCCUUGUCUUGGAGAGUUUUGUCACCAUGAAGAUGAUUUUUUUGUUGUAAAAAAAGUUCUGAUUUCUGCUUUUCCGCCAAGCGGGCUUCAAUGAGGACUUCUUGCUUCUGGAAGAAAACCCAUUUUAAACUUGCUUUAGAUUACAAUGAUCUAGGAAAUGUCCCACGUCUUGUGAACCAGAUGCAUUAUUGUAAACCAACAAAAAUUCCUUUUAUACUUUCAAAAUCAAAACAAAUUAAAGUUUUCAAAAUCUUUGUCGUUUCCACUAUUUAUUUAUACUUUCAAAAUCAAAACAAAUUAAAGUUUUCAAAAUCUUUGUCGUUUCCACUAUUUUAAUGUUUUUAUCUUAUCAAAAAUAAAAAGCGACAUUAAGCAGAAAAACAGAAAUAAUUGGUAAAGUAAUGUUCAACUGAACAAUUUUAUUUGAUGAGAAGAAUAACUCAUACAUGGUAUUCAUGAAGAUGUAAACCCCUCUAAGAGGAGAUUACAAAGAAAGAAAGAAAGUAAAUGGCAAUAAAAAUUUAACUGAUUUUCCAACGAAAUACAACUUUACUACUUUCCCCUAUGUCCUCUACUCCUCAUUACUUUGCUUCUGGAGAUGGUAAUUGGACUGUUUUCUUCCAUCUGAGCUUUGUUACAGUGUUGACUUAUGUCGUUGCAGUAUUAUGCUUUUGGAUAUUCCCUAACUUUUACGCGAACUACUCCUUAAGAGUUUCAGUUCACUGGGAGAUUUUACCCUUUUUUGCUUAAGUCUCCCUUUCGGGUUUUCGACUUACCGGGCUUAAUUUUUUGUUUAUCCCUAAUUUUUGCCUGAGGCGCCCUUUCGGGUUUUCAACUCACCGGGAUGCUCAUUUUUUGCCUAAGUCUCCCUUUCGGGUUUUCAACUUAACGAGCUUUUAUGAUCCAUCUCUUUUUCUUAGGCAUAAUACUUUCUGACUGCAUCAGAAUUGACGAGGUGUAUCAACUCUUCUCCGUCCAUGUUCGUGAGAACUAAAGCUCCACCAAAGAAAGCUUUCUUCACCACAAAUGGUCCUUCAUAGUUUGGAAUCCACUUUCCACGUGAAUCCUUCUAGAGGAAGAUUAUCUUUUUCAAAACUAGUUCACCUACAUUAAACUCUCGAGGUCGAACCUUCUUGUCAAAUGCCCGCUUGAGCCUCCUCUGAUAUAACUGACCAUGACACAACACUGUCAUCCUCUUUUCUUCGAUUAGAUUGAGCUGGUUAAAUCUGGUUUGAAUCCAUUCUACUUCUUCUAAUUUUGUCUCCAUCAAGACUCUUAACGAGGGGAUCUCAACUUCUAUCGGUAACACAGCCUCCAUGCCAUAGACUAGUGAGAAAGGGGUUGCCCCUGUUGAAGUGUGAACAGCUGUUCGAUAUCCGUGCGAAGAAAAGGGUAGCAUCUCGUGCCAAUCUUAAUAAGUUUUCACCAUCUUCUGAAUGAUUUUCUUGAUAUUCUUGUUAGCUUCCUCUACAACUCCGUUCAUCUUUGGCCUAUAAGGUGACGAGUUAUGAUGUUCAAUCUUGAAAUUCUCGCACAACUCCUUCAUCAUUUUAUUAUUCAGAUUUGAUCCAUUAUCAGUGAUAAUCUUGCUAGGAGUUCCGUAGCGACAAAUUAUCUCUUUCUUGAUAAACCGAGUGAUGACUUGCUUUGUCACAUUGGCAUAAGAAGUUGCUUCUACCCACUUAGUGAAGUAGUCAAUGGCAACCAGAAUGAACCGAUGUCCAUUUGCAGCUUUAGGCUCAAUCAUACCAAUCAUUUCUAUGCCCCACAUUGAGAAUGGCCAUGGAGAUGAUAAAACAUUCAGAGGAGUAGGUGGCACGUGCACCUUGUCAGCAUAUAUUUGGCACUUGUGGCAUUUCCUGGCAUAGUGGUAACAAUAUGUUUCCAUUGUCAACCAAUAGUAACCAGCUCUAAGGAUUUUCUUCGCCAUUGCAUGUCCGUUUGCAUGAAUGCUGAAAGAACCUUUGUGGAUUUCUUUGAUGAGUAGGUCGGCUUCGUGUCUAUCCACGCAUCUGAGUAUAACUAAAUCAAAGUUUCUUUUGUAUAGAACACCACAACUUAGGAAGAAAUUGGCUGAUAACUUUCUUAAGGUCUUUUUAUCUGUGAUGGAUACAUCAUUUGGAUACUCGUUCUUCUCAAGAUAUCAUCUGAUGUCAUAAAACCAAGGCUUGCCAUCUGUUUCUGCUUCAACUGCCAAGCAAUAUGCUGGCUCGUCUAGACGUUGAAUUAUAAUAGCAGGUGAUUCGUUAGCCCACUUGACCUUGAACAUAGAUGACAGAGUAGCCAAGGCAUCGGCUAGCUGAUUCUCCUCCCUAGGAAUAUGAUGGAAAUUAAUCUCAUCAAAGUAGGGGAUUAGACUUCAUGACAUGCUCUCGGUAUGGGAUCAAAAUUGGGAUGGAGGGUCUCCAAUCUCCUUUGAUUUGAUAGAUGACAAGUGCUGAGUCUCCAAACACCUCAGAAUCUUCACUCUUAGGUCGAUAGUUGCUUCAAUUCCCAAGAUACAUGCUUCAUACUCCGUCAUGUUAUUGUGCAUUUGAAAACCUUGUCGUGAAGGGAAGAUGAAAAUCCUUUUGAGAAGUUAUAACAGCCCAAUUCCGUUACCCAAUGCAUUUGAGGCACCAUCGAACACGAGCUCCACCGCGAUCCUGGUUCGGGUCCUUCUUACGGGCCUGGAAUCUCAUAGUCUCUUAUGUACAUGACGUCUUCAUCUGGGAAGUCGAGUCUCAUCGAUUGAUAGUCUCCACUGGCUGGUGCGCAAGGUACUCUGAUAACACACUACCCUUAAUGGCCUUCUGAGUUACAUACUGAAUGUCAUAUUUUGAUAACAACAUUUGCCAGCGAGCAAUUCUGCCAAUUAAUCCAGGUUUCUCGAAGAUGUACUUGAUGGGAUCCAUCUUGGAUAUUACAUUGUUGUAUGACAAAUCAUAUACUGUCUCAGACGACGAGCAGCCAUGCUAAUGCACAACAAGUCUUUUCUAGCAUGGAGUACCUGAUUUCACAUUCUGUUAAACUUCUUGCUCAGGUAGGUAGGAUAGCAUGCUCUUUCUACCCGUCUCAUCGUGUUGCCCCAGUACACAUCCCAUGGAUUCAUCGAGUACUGUUAAAUACAUAAUGACGAGGCCUUCCUGGAACUGGUGGCACUAAGAUUGGUGGUUCUUGAGAUACUAUUUGAUUUUAUCGAAUGCACUAUGGCAAUCAUCGUUCACUAAUGGCUUGAUCUUUCUUAACAACUUGAAUAUUGGCUCGCAAGUGGCUGUCAGAUGCGAGAUGAAUCUGGAAAUAUAGUUCAAUCUUCCCAAGAAACCACGACUGCUUCUCUGUCCGAGGUGCUGGCAUCUCUUGAAUAGCUUUGACUUUGUCAGGAUCGACUUCUUUGCCUCUCUGGCUCACAAUGAAUCCUAGAAGUUUCCAGAUCUGACUCCAAAAGUGCAUUUAGACGGGUUUAAGCGCAGUCUAUAUUUCCUCAAUCUUACAAACAACUUCUUCAGAUGAAUAACAGCUCAUCUUUUGUCUGAGACUUGGCGAUCAUUGUCAUCCACAUAGACCUUCAAUUUCCAUUAUGUAUUCUAUCAUUGGAAAAGAAGUCACCAUGGCCCUUGAUAGGUUGCCCCAGGCAUUUUUCAGGCCGAAAGGCAUUACCUUAUAACAGAAAGUGCCCCAUGGUGUAAUGAAAGUUGUUUUCUCCAUAUUUCCGGGAGGACAUUUAAUCUGAUUAUAUCCUGAGAAUCCGUCCAUGAAGGAGAAUACAGAGAACUGAGAUGUGUUAUCUACCAAUACAUCAAUGUGAGGUAAAGGAAAAUCAUCUUUGGGACUAGCUCUAUUCAGGUCUUUGUAGUCUACACACAUUCGAACUUUUCCAUCUUUCUUCGGAACUGGCACAAUAUUAGCAAUCCACUGGGGGUAAGCUGCAACAGCUAGAAAACCUGCAUCAAACUGCUUCUUGACCUCUUCUCUAAUCUUGACAGCCAUGUCUGGUCGAGUUCUUCUCAACUUCUGCUUGAUGGGCGGGCAUUUCGGCUUCAACGGUAGCUUGUGCACAACUAUGUCGGUGUCGAGUCCUGGCAUAUCCUGAUAUGACCAAGCAAACACAUCCACAUAUUCAUGUAGUAGCUCGACUAGUUCCUCUUUCACACUUUUUUUCAAAGCAGUUCCGACCUUAACUUCCUUUCGAUCCUCCUAAGUCCCCAGAUUGAUCAUAUCCACUGGUUCCUGAUGAGGCUGAAUCAUCUCUUCCUCUUGUUUCAAAAGUCUAGUCAACUCUUCUGGGAGUUCACGGUCUUCCUUAUCAUCCUCUUCAUCUUGGUUAACCGGGAGGUCGAAGUCAUAAGGAAUUAUAGCAUUGUCGUGUUCAAUGGAUCGAGUUAUUAAUGAUCUGCAUGGAAAUGAUUUUUCUUUUUAGCGGAAGAUUUUGAAAAAUGAAAGUGAUGUGAAAUCAAAAUUGCCAUUUUUUAAUUUUGUUGUUUAUUUAUUUGUAAAAAAAAUUAAAAAGAUGAAAGACAGGGAUCUCAAAAAAUGUGCUUUGUAUUGAUGAUAAGGCUUAAAUAUUAACACAAAAUGGGCCCUACAAAGCUAUCCAUAUGCCUUGGGCAUGGCAUAAAAAAAAUUAAAAAGAUGAAAGACAGGGAUCUCAAAAAAUGUGCUUUGUAUUGAUGAUAAGGCUUAAAUAUUAACACAAAAUGGGCCCUACAAAGCUAUCCAUAUGCCUUGGGCAUGGCAUUGGAUGUUUCUAGAAAACAAUAAAUUACUUUGAAAAAGAAGCUAUAUCUGGAACAUCUGUUGCCUUCCAGUUAGUGAGAGCAGCAUCCGGAGGUCCACAAAACACCAUCUUGGACAAAUCUGGAUCUUCAUCUUCAAGAGCAUUCACUUGAUCAUCACUUAGGAAACCAACUUUGGAGAAUAUUUCCUGGAUGCUAGGAACCUUCCCCUGAUGUAUCUUCUGAUCUUUGAAAAGUUCAAUAGACGGUUGAUAUCCUAAUCCACACUUGUCUUUCUUCUUUGGUAAUUCAAUCACUGUGCCCCAACUUCCAGGGCAACCAGCUUCAAUUGCAGCUUUCACACUCUUCCACGAGGACAUGACCCCCUUGGGUUCUUCAACAAGUUUCGGCUUAGUCUGGACCACAUUGACCACUUCAAGGGCUUGGCGAGGAGUUUCAACAAUGUCUUCACCUACUUCAAUGUAUCUGAAAGAAGUCAAAUGGCUGACGAAAAUAUCUUCCUCUCCGGAUAUUGAUACCAGCUUACCAGAAGUAACAAACUUCAGCUUCUGGUGAAGUGUCGAGGUGACAGCUCCAGCAGCAUGGAUUCAAGGUCUACCUAACAGACAGCUAUAGGCAGGUCUAAUAUCCAUUACCUGGAAGGUAAUACGGAAAGUUUGAGGGCCAAUCAGGAUUGGGAGGUCAAUCUCCAUAAUAACUGUUCGCUUAGACCCAUCAAAAGCUUUUACUAUCAAAGCACUGGGUCUCAUCUGCACCCCUUCAAUAUUCAAUUGUGACAGGGUAGUCUUAGGUAACAUGUUCAAGGAUGAACCUGUAUCUACCAGUACUCGAGCCAAGGUAACAUCUGCACACUGAAUGGAGAUAUGAAGCGUCAUAUUAUGUUCUCGUCCAUUAGGGGGUAAAUCAUCAUCAGUGAACAUCAAACAACUACUAGCAUUGAGAUUAGCAACCACAUUAUCAAACUGAAUAACACUGAUGUCUUCUGCCACAUAAGCUUCGUUUAAGAACUUCAAUAAUCAUCAGUGAACAUCAAACAACUACUAGCAUUGAGAUUAGCAACCACAUUAUCAAACUGAAUAACACUGAUGUCUUCUGCCACAUAAGCUUCGUUUAAGAACUUCAAUAGAGCAGUCCUAUGAGCCUUAGAACUCAUAAGUAGAGGAAGAAUGGAGAUUUUUGAAGGAGUCUGGUUGAGCUGAUCUAUGACCUUGUAAUCACUCUUCUUGAUGAUCUUCAAGAAUUCUCUAUCCUCUUUAGCAGUCACUGCUUUCUUAGAUAAGCCUUCUCCUGCUUCUGGAGGAUUUACCUCUUUCCCCUUUGUUGGUUCAACUGUUGGUGCACUUUCUUUGUUUGGGAUCACUUCAGGAGCGAAAAACCUUCCACUUCGAGUCACACCACUAGCUCCAGCGAUGUUAGUCACGUCUGGCUCUUUCAAGAUUACUGGUUUGUUACCCACAUAAACUACAGGCUCAUAGUUCCAAGGCACUGCUUUGGUACUGUCAAAUGAGAAUGGAGCGGGAACAUAGAUAACCAUGGGCUCAAUCUUCUUCACUGGCUCUAGGUCAACAUUUCUCUUAUAAGGGACCACAAAAGGCUUGGGAAACCUCUCUUGAUCAAAUACAGGCACAAUCACAGCAACAUCCUCAUCAAUCUUUGCUCUAAUGAACUGAAUAACCCGUUGAUCCAUCAAACGUUAAAGAUAAAUUUUGAAUUCACCACACUAAUCAGGGUUGGAUGAACACACCACACAAUUAUCAUGUACUCCAUUCAUCAAUUCUGCUUCAAUCAAUCUAGCAUGGACCACCGUUAAAAGAGUCUUCAACUUGAACACAUCCUUUAUCAAUCCAUCAUCAGUUGAACUAUCUAUAGCAUUGACACCUGAACCAUCAUAUUUAGGCAAAGGAUUGUUCCCCACAUUUGGAACAUCAGCAAAAGACAAUAUUUUCUGAUCUAUCAACUCUUGGACCCGAAGCUUGAACACCUUGCAAUUCUCUGUUGUAUGACCCUCUGAAUUAUCAUAAAAGGCACAUCUAGCAUUCUCAUCAUACCAAGGCUUAUGCGGCUUCGGCAUUGGAGGUAAUGCCCUUGGCGAAACAGUCCCAUUCUGAAUCAGAUACGGUAGCAAUUAAGUGUAAGUCAUUGGGAUAGGAGUGGUAUUCACAUUAUUGUACUGUUGAUAUGGCCUCUGUUGAUUUGCUCAUUGCUGCUGAGUUGGACGUGGUUGAUUAUUUUGUUGAUUUCUCUGUUGAUGUUGAGGUGGAGGAGCCUGGAACUGAGGUUGUGGAGCUUGAUAUUAAGGAACUGGAACUUGAUAGUGAGGUAUCAGAGCUGGAAUAGGAACAUGAGCAAUUGGACGAUAAGGCAUGGUUGGAUAUUGAGCAGCUGCUACGUAAGGGUACUGAUAAUAAGGCACAGAAGCAGGAGCCCUGGGUGGUACCCUCCCCCUUUGAGAAGAAAUGACGCUAGUCUCUCCCUCCUUCCUCUUGAAUCCGUUGAAAGGCUUCUUCAAGAUUGGUUGACUGCUGGAACCUCCCUGGAUUUUACACACUACUGAUCAAUCUUUCAUAAUAUUGGCCCUACAAGGUUCCCAUGAAAAUGUCAAUCAAUUCACGAUCAACCAGCGGCGGGUGCACCCUUGCAGCCAAUUCUCUCCAGCGUUGUGCGUAUUCUUUAAAAGAUUCAUUGUCUUUCUGGGGCAUACUCUGAAGCUGAGUACGGUUUGGUGCCAUGUCAGUAUUAUAUUUGUAUUGCUUUACGAAUGCUUAAGCCAACUCAUCCCAAGUGUGGAUGUUGCUACAUUCCAAUUGCAUGUACCAGUCCAAAUAUGCCCCAGUUAGACUGUCCUGAAAGCAAUGGAUCAUGAGCUUAUCAUCUCUGGCAUAGGCAUCCAUUUUUCUGUAAUACAUUUUCAAAUGUAUGUUAGGACAUGUGAGGCCUUUGUAUUUUUCAAAUUCAGGCGCUUUGAAUUUUGGAGGAAUCACCACGUCUGGGACUAGACACAUCUCCAAGGCACUUAAACAGGUUGAGUUAUGUCCUUCUAAGAUUCUUAGCUUUUCGGCCAGAGCAUGACACAUCAAGAUAGCCUCAGAAUCUUGGGCAGCAGUAGGGAUGAGCAUUAGAGAAGCUCCAUUAUAAUUCUGCAUUUCAAACUCGUUCUGGAGCUCCUCAUCAGUGUGGGGCAUGACUACUUGAUUGACUAUCGGAGGUCCUUGCACAGCGACUCCAUCAGCUACUCUAGAAGUAUACGCAGGUGGAGGCACAUGAGUUCUUUCAGGCGGUGGAACAAAACCUGGAGGAAGACCGUAGAUAACGGGAUUUGGAAUAGGAACUGAAGGUCCUGACUGAAGAGCAACCCCUUGAACUAGAGCAUCGAAUGAGUUCUUUCAGGCGGUGGAACAAAACCUGGAGGAAGACCGUAGAUAACGGGAUUUGGAAUAGGAACUGAAGGUCCUGACUGAAGAGCAACCCCUUGAACUAGAGCAUCGUUCCUUGCAGCAGCGGUAACACGUGCCUUUUCUUCCCUUCUAGCCAGAGCUUGUAUAGCCUCAAAGAUCUGCUCGAUCUUGCUUUUGACAGAGUCCAUCUCCUCUCUGAAGGAAGCUUGUUCUUCUCUAACUACAUACAUGAUUCUUCUUGUGUUGGAGCGAGUAGCGUAUGCACGUUGAGGAAUCAGCUUGAACUACUAGAGACGAGGAAAAAUGGAAUGAGUUUUUGUUUUGAGAAAUAAAAUGCAUGAUGCAUAUGUUAAUGCACGUGGAUUUAAAAAUGUCUUUUAUGCUUAUGUUCAAUUUUAUUUUCAGGGAACCGUGUUAGAUUCCUUGUUAUUUAACAAGCAUUCGAAGAGAUCACGGGGAAUAAAACAAGAAUGGAACCAAACUUUUUGUACAAAAGAACUCAAAAUCCUUCAUUCAUUCAAUUCAAAACAGAGUACAAGGAUUGAGUACAAAAUAUUCUUUCAAACAUAAAGGAAUGUACAAAAAACCAGGGUUAGACUGUAGACUUCUUUUUGUUAAGCUCUUCCAACUCUCCUUUGAACCUUUUCAUCAUGUCUUCACAAAGAUAGAUAAAGCCAGUCACUGAAGGAGGGAUGUUGUCAUUGUCUAUGUCUUCCAGAGCACAUCUUAGCAUCAAAGGCAUAUUCUUAGCCAUGACAUUACAGAAGUCUAUCAAACUGGCAAACUUGUCUCGAUACUCAUUUCUUUCUUCAUGUAAAAACUGGAUGGUUUUCUUGCAGACUGCCAAACUAGCAUUCACAUUUUCCCCUGCGUUCAUCCAAUCUUCACCUUCUCGUAGCAAAGAGUCAUGUCGGCCUCUCCAGUAUCGUUCCCACUCAUUAGCAUUUUCAACCUCCUGGCACUUUCCUUUCCAUAUUUCAGGUGUAACCUGAGUAGCAGCCAGAGCACUCUCUUUACUACAGCGUUCUCGUUCUUCCCUUUCUUUUGACUCAUAGAGUGAAACACUGAGGUUGGCUAUCUCAGCCUCAAGCGUCUCUCUUAUCUCCUUCUUUUGUUUUGUGGCGAGCUUCCACCAUUUCUCUUUCUCACGACAAUCCCUCUCAGCCUUUUUCAGUUGGUUUUUGACGGUAUUCAAGCAGCUGUCAGCCUGAUCUAAACCAUGCUUGACUCUUUUUCUUUUAUACUCUUCCUUAUCCACCUUUUCCAUAUUUACCUGAAGCUGCAUUUUAUUCCUCUCGAGUUUCCAUUUAAACGCAUUCUUUUCAUUAGUGAUCAGGUGUAGGUUCUUCAACAACUCUUCAUUUUCCUUUGUAAGUUUCUCUAAAGAAGCUCGGAGUCCUUCUGCCUCCUUAAUUGGGACAUGAGUAGGUUUAGGCUCGGGAAGAGGACCAGACAUCUCUAUUUUGAAAGGCAUCUUGAUUGAUCUUACUCUUUCUUUUAUCCAUUGAAAGUAUGGCUCUUUGGUGAUACAAUUCUUCUUUCCUAGGCCAGCCUUACCUUUCCUGUUGACCUUUUCCCAUGCCUUCUUGAUCCUUGCAAACAAAGUUGGAUUCUCAACUCCUAGGUCAUGCAGCAAAAAGGCUUCCAAAGACUUCUCCUCAUGAGGUCCCUCCAGUGGGUACCCAAGUUUUCUCAUGGAUAAGACUGGAUUAGCAUUAAUACAACCUCGAGUACCAAUGAGUGGUAUGUUGGGGAAGUCCCAACAACUGGAUAUGAUUUUUGUAUCAUCAUACACCCUAGAGUACCAAGAAAUAUUGCUGGAUCGGAGUGAUCCCAACCUCUGGGGCCAACUAGCAUCCUUCUGAUCCACAAAGGGACCCCUAUUUGGAAGAUGGGUCUGCAACCAUGUGUACAAUAGAGGGGCACAACAAGCAACCAUUCCUCCCUUCUUUGCACUUCUCCAAGUCAUAUAAUAGAACACAUCAGCAAGAAGGGUAGGCACUGGAUUCUUCGUGAGGAAGAUGCAAAUGGCAGUCAUGUCUACAAAAUCGUCAAAGUUUGGGAACAAAACGAUUCCAUAAAUAGCCAAGGCAAUAGUAGCAUAGCAAGCCUCCCAACUUUGGGCCUCUAAUAGGGAGUAAGCUCUCUCUAUAAGAAAAUUGAGUGGAAACCCUUUGGUAUUUCCUUUCACUCCCAGGUUUGUAGUAACGUCCUUCUUAUGCAUGUGAAGGGCAGCAACUAUAACUUCAUGUUCCAAGGUCCCUUCGACACCCAUAAAUGGCAGUUUGUUUUUUAUGGGAAUACCAACAAGAUGUUCAAAUUCCUCCAACAUUGGUGCUAUUUGAAAAUCCUGGAAGGUGAAACAUCUCAUUGGUGAAUCAUAGAACUGGGCCAAGGUCAAAAGUACCAAAUUCCUCCAACAUUGGUGCUAUUUGAAAAUCCUGGAAGGUGAAACAUCUCAUUGGUGAAUCAUAGAACUGGGCCAAGGUCAAAAGUACCAGUGGGUCUGCUUCUUUGUUCAAGAGACUGAGCAGAUUUCCAUAAUGCUUCCUAAAGUUGAUCUUGUAGACUGGAUGGAGCUGAGAAACCAAUUCUUGUAGAACGUCUAAUUUAGGAUCUUUGAACUUGUAUGAGUAUAUGCUUCUCUUGUUCGAUCCCAUACUCUCUAAAUGCUUAUAACAUUGAUCCUCUAGUUCCCUGGAAACAAAAUGAAAAUGUUAUGUUUUGAUUAUGUGAUGAACGUGCAUGGUUUUAGAGUUACAGGUAACAUCAAACUCAGGUUGGGAAGAGUAACAGGAAAAAACUGGUAUCUCUGAUUAUAGGCACUCCAUGGGUAGGCUCUAUGGUUGAUAGGUUCCCAGAGUCAUGGAUCCUUCUUGAGAAUAUUAGUGUCAUGAAGAAGACUCGUUGAACAAUAAUAACCUCAAAAUGAUCUCUUCUAGGUGAGGUUUUCGUAUUGUCCCAAUGAGGAAGGCACCUCGUGGGCCAAUACUACACAACCAUCGAUUCCAAGGUUCUAAAAAAGGUCCCUAGAGUCACUUAUUCCACAUGAAAGCGUUAUCGCCAUGACGAAGGCUCGUCGGACAAUAACAUCUCCAAGAGAAUCUACUCUAGGCGGGGUCUUCGUAUUGUCCCAAUGAGGAAGGCUCCUUGUGGGCCAAUACUACACAACCACCAUCUUAAUCCUAUGUUUUUUCCUCAGACUCGGGUAGAGAGCCUAUCUCACAAAGUACGAAUAAUCAGAGAUCCCCACAAAUGCCAAUGAGAACCAAUAAACAAAUCACAAAUAACAAUACAAUGAGAUAUCAACAACAACAAAAAGAUAGAAAAAUAAAUCAAACAAAGCUAACACUAAACACAAAUAAAACUGAGUUAGGUCUGACUCUCUCUAGGUUGGAGCUCUCAGUCCCCAGCAGAGUCGCCAGCUGUCGUAUCUCGAAAAACGCGAUCCUUCGCGAGGCGCUCGCACGCUCGCGGAAAAGAUGUUCGAACAGAGUCGCCACCGAACUUUAUUUAUUCCAAUUAAGGAAAGGGAAAAUAUUAAUAAACCCCAAAAAAACAAAAAGAAAAUGGUCGUCGCAACCAAAUUCGGGUUCGGGAGUCGGUUACGCAAGGGGAAGGUAUUAGCACCCCUCACGUCUGUUGUACUCAACGGGAACGACUUAGUUAAACUUAUGAUAGAGUGUUAGCUAAUGUUAAUUUAUUAUCUUCUACUUAUCGAGCGAGAAAAAGAAAGAAAGAAAGGAAAGACUUAGAUUUUUUUUAUAUUAAUGUGCCUGACAAGAUUUCGCAAUCCUGCUCCUACGUAUCUUCAGGUGCUAUGAAGAACUCAAGGCAUACGUAGUUCUACCCAAAGAGAACUACUGGGUGGAUUGCUUUUAAAGAAAGUGAUGCUUGGAUCAUAUUUGAGCGUAAAACCUUUACUUGCUGCUCGCUAUUGGAGGCUGAAGUCUUUGUUUGUUUCGCAUCAAAAUGGAUGUUGCAUACUCUCUUCUGAAAAUGUUUUCAUGGUCGCGCAAGGGUGGAAAACAAGUUUGAUUGGUUUAAGUGUUUUGUUUGGAUGACGAUUACUCGAAUGGCCGAGUAAGGCUACUCGUAUCCAAGUGCUCGAGAAGAGGAAUAAAAGGCUCUAGACCAUCUCCCUUUUCAUCCUUAAUUUGUGAAAGAAGUUAAAUAAUCUUAAAGUAUUUUGGACGGACGAUAAAUACUCGAAUGGCCGAUUAUGGCUACUCGUAUCCAAGUACUCGAGGAAGGGAAUGGAAGGCUCCAUACCACCUCCUUUUUCGUCUAAGUUUGUUGCGAAAUUGAGUUUAACUAAAGGUUUGAUUAUGAAAGUAAUUUGGAUGUGGCGGGGGCUUAGAAGUUUUUAACAGAUGUCAAUUUCUUGAAUGGCCGAGUAAGGCUACUCGUAUCCAAGUAAUUGAGGAGAGGAAUCGAAAACUCGAGACCAUCUCCCUUUUCAUCUUUUUUGAAAUAAUGUUUAAAUAUAAUUAGGUAUUUUGAAUUUGAUUAGGGAAAAGACACUCGAUGUUGGGUCGAGGUUUUUAUUAAUUGCGUUUGAAUUGAAACAUACAAAAUGAUUUGAUGGUUUUGAAAAUGAUGGAGAAGCGAAUAAUGGAAAUGAUUCUGAUUUGUGAAAAUUGCUCGACGUUGGAUCGAGUGUUUUUUUUAAGUGUUGAUUUUAAUCUUCGAAUUAACGAUCAACUGAUACAAUAAAGUAAAUGAAAGCAGUAAACUUAUUACAUAUUUACGGGAAUGAGGGUACACUUUAUCGAAUGGGGAUAUGACACAAUAACUAAAUCAUACAAGUUUUGAAAGACAGUUGUAAAAAUAAAAGAAUCUCGUUGUAAGAAGGCCCAAGAGAAAGCGAAGGGACUCGAAAUAAAAUCAGAAAUUUAGCGUAAUGUUUAAGCAGUCGUAAAGCGAUUCAUGUAUGAAUCAUCCUAUCCGAGGCCGAUCGACAAAUAUUUAUGCAUUUAAGCAAUUUCUGAAGUUAAAUUGAAUUUUUAACUUAAAAAUUGUGAUGCAUCUGUGAAAAAUCGAUGGGACAAAUAAAAUCGAUUUUUUUUAUUUAAAAUUAACAAAUAUGACAAUAACAAUAAACAAUAAUAAUAAUAAUAAUAAUAAUAAUAAUAAUAAUAAUAAUUAAUAAUAAUAAUAAUCAAUAAUAACAAUUAAUCAAUAAUAAUAAUAAAAUAAUAAUAAUAAUGAAAACAGUAAUAAUAAUUAAUCAAUAAAUAUUAAAAACAAUAAUAAUAAUAAUAAUCAAUAAAAAAUAAUAAUAGACAAUAUAAUAAUAAUAAUAAUAAUAAUAAUAAUAAUAAUAAUAAUAAUAAUAAUCUAUACAAAAUAAUAAUAAAUAAUAUAAUAAUAAUAAUAUAUAAUAAAAAUUUCUAUAAUAUAAAUAGUAAUAAACAUUAUAAUAAUAAUGAUGAUGAUGAUAAUAAUAAUGAGGAUAAAAAUAAUAAUAAAUAAUAUAAUAAUAAUAAUAUAUAAUAAAAAUUUCUAUAAUAUAAAUAGUAAUAAACAUUAUAAUAAUAAUGAUGAUGAUGAUAAUAAUAAUGAGGAUAAUAAUAAUAAUAAUAAUAAUAAUAUAGUAAUAAUUAUAGUAAUAAUAAAACAUGAACAAAACAAAUAAAGAAAUGAGAGGAAAAAAAAAGAGAGAGAAAAAGGUGGGACGGUGCUGUUCUACUGAAAAAGAGAAAUGAAAGCAUUAUUAUUUAUUUCAUUUUUUUUAAAAUCCACUAAAAAGAUGACAAGUGUCUAAAGGAAAGAAAAAAAAAAUUUGCUCUUCAUCCUGCUUGAUGAACCGUGACAACAACAAACACCAUUUUUUGAAUAAAAAUUUUGUCCUCCUUCCUCAAAUUCACAUGAAUAGCAACAACAACAUAUGUUUAUUUUCAUUAUUAUUUUUUUUUCUUAACAACAAAGCUCAACUUCUCACUUCAUCAAUCAAAAUGCAGUGCCACACAAAAAGAAAAGAGAAAAGUAAAGUCAACCUCCGAUGAAGAUCCACGGUGCUCGGCGGUGAGGGUGGAGUUCUGAAGGUUGAAGGAGUUGCAUAGGGUUGUGACCAGAGCACAAUGGUUUUUUCCGGAGUUUAACGAAUGUGUUUCCGGUGUGUAGAGGUGUGUUAGUAUACUUCAUUUUUCUUCCUCCGUUUUAGCUUACAAUUCCAUUUCCGAGUUUUGUUGUUCCUCUUUAUUUGUGGCUUAUGUUUUGUUUUCUAGAUUUGGUUUGAUGUAGGUUAUUAUGUGAGUUAUAUGAGAGGAGGAGAGUUAUGUCAUGGUUUAUGUGUUGUUGUGAGGAUGAAAAAUGAGUUAUGUGUUUGUGAGAUGUUGGAAGUUGUUGUUGAUGUUUAGAGAGGGAAAAAAAGAGUAUGAAGAGUUAUGGUGUGUUGGUAUGAAAAUGAUUUUGGUGGUUAUGUGGUGAUGGAAAAGAUGAAGGUGAUUAUGUUGCAGAGAAGAUGAUGAGGAAAAAUGAAGAUUGUUUUGGUGAGUAGAGUGGAGAAGAAGGAAAAGUGAGGGUGGGUGAAAAAAAGUUGCAGGUGUUCUUCUUACGUCAUACACCAAAAGAACUUCUUCUCGAAAAAAUAUAAUAUAUUGAGAUGAGAAAACCUCACGUGCAUGAAAGAAAAACAAAAUAUCUCUUGGACAGUGUUUGGAUCUUUCUCUUUGAGAAAAAAAUGUUUUUUUUUAACAUGUGGGUGUGAGUUGGUCACAUGGCCUUUCAUGAAUGGAGAAGGAGAAC